This is a long non-coding RNA of Argiope bruennichi, 2007 nucleotides long. RefSeq lists it as uncharacterized. The record is from RefSeq and is a predicted model, not a curated record. The transcript has 3 exons. Lineage: Eukaryota; Metazoa; Arthropoda; Arachnida; Araneae; Araneidae.
GAAUAAUUCCCUACAAGUCGAUUUGAACGAGCUUAAAAGGAAUUUUCGUCAUUAGGCCACUUCCAAAUUUUGAUUGCGCUGUGUACGACCAUGGAAAUAAAAAAAAUGUUGGGUUAAUAGCAAUACAACCCACGCCAGUUCCUCGGAGUUUUUAAAAAGGUUAACUUCCGACAGUUGGAAAAAAUUGUUGACCAAAACAGCACUCAUUUGAAUAUAACCUUGAUGAUCGUUUCCAGAUGUUCCGUGUCGGCUUUCUACAACUAGAUUCUCAAUCUUCUAAUGGAAACGGGCAAUUUCUUUCAUUCAGUUUGAAUGGAUCUAGAAUGUUCAAGUGGACUGUCUUGCAUUUCUAUUCCUCGGAGCCUCUUAUGAAUUUCCUGAACGUUUUGGAAUGAAUCGUGUACUGAAAUUCUACGCUGCAUUAUCACUUAUUGCCUAAAUUGUAUGGUAUAGUGCAUUGCUUAUUUAAAGUAUGAUUUUGUCUUAAUGUAUCAUGAACUAGAUCCAAUUAUUAAUAAUUAGACUUCGAGAGCACUCGAAACUUCAUGUGCGGCAAAGAUGCAAUCUUUUAAAUUUAAGAUUAAUUUCUGUAUAGGGAACUUUAUUAAAUUUCUCAUGGAAAAUGUAGUUAAAUUCUUUAAUUUUAACUUGCUUUUUGCUUUCUGUAAGAAAAUGAAACGGACGAAAUUAUUAAAAAUAAAGGCUUCACGUAAAUUUAAUUCCGAUGUAUUCGUAUCAAAGAUGUUCGAUUCCUGGUCCUAUUAAAAGUCGUGAGUUAAUUAACAGAUCUAAGAGAAAGCGCCGCCUUAUGAAUAAUUCUAAGAAUAGCUCCUUUGUUAUUAAUCGACUUUCCUCUAGAGGAAAUGGAUUCUAAAAGAUUUUGCUUGCUACAUGUCCUUUUCAAAAGUCGAUACUUCUUGCAAUCAUCCAUGUUCGGCGGUAAUUUCUUGAAUUUGUAAUUAACGAAAAUCGUGCAUAAAUUUGAACCCUAUAACAAUUCACUUUUACCUCGAUAAUAAGCUAAUUUCGGUUAAAAUAACUUCACAAUACAAUUGUAGAAUUCAAAAUUUAAAAGUUAGUUUCAAGACGUCCUAAUUAAUAGUUCAAUAUUUCCCUCGUACCAUCGCAUGGAAAAAUAUUUUUACUACAUUGGUACAGAAAGGUUAAAUUCUCCAAUCAAAGAAAUGGGUUAUAGAAACAAUCGUCUGUUUUAUCUUGAGAUACUAGCAUCCUAAUUAGUCAUGAGAAUCCGAAUCAUUAACUUUGAAUUUCUUGACAAUAGUUAAAAUGACAGAUGUAGGCUUUUCUAAGAAUUCUUAUGACUGUUAACUUCGCUGUAUGUAAAAUGUAAUCCUAGGUUCAGAGUAGAGCAUUCUAGUUGCAUUUUGUUAGGACUUUGAGGGAUAGUUGCAAAUGCCAAUGUUGAAAGUAGAAAUUGCCUGGUUCUAACGGGAAUGACUGGGAAGAUCGGAAUGGGCUUCGAGAAGAGGUAGAACGGAGGGGGAGGGGUUAACAAGUUAAGUAAUACUGGUCCCUGCUGUCUUUCUGCUGAGGUUGAUUGGGACCGGCAGCCAAAGUAGAAAACAGCGGUCCCCAGGGAACAGGUACUUAACGCGUUAACUAUGUAGGAUCAUUGCUAGGAAAAUAAACGGAAAUGUCGAUUAGGAGAAAUGAAAUAGAAACUGCCAUAGUUAGUCAAUGUAUCAAAUCGAUAAGCAUAUUUGGACGGGGGGAGGGAAAUCGAAUCGAAAUACAUUGAAUGCAAUUUGUACUAGAAACAUUGGUAGCAACUAUCUUAAAAAUUCAAAUAUUAAAACUAGUUGCCAAACUUUUCACGCGCACACUAAACCUCCUCAAACUUGUUUUCACAUUAAAAUUUAAAGUGUAUUCCCUUUAGCUACCGUUAUCAUGGUUGAGAUAAAAUUACUUGCCAAUACUUAACUCUAUUGAGAAUGCAAUAAGCACCUUGGCAUAAAAUGAGUUGACUCGUGCACUGAAUUUUCAAUU